AUGGAGUUGGAUCAGGCCAACAUAAAGACGAUGUUCAGCAUGUCCCAACCAGAGCUUGACACCUGCGAUACAUUUGAAAUCCCUUCUCCUCCCCCUGUGACCACAAACCAGUACGAAUCAUAUUUCACCCUCCAUAACCAAUCCCAGUCAUCUGUCACCUUGAAUCCAGAAGCGAACAGCUCCGAGAUUUCUGACGUACAUAAGGAACCGCAGAAAGCACCUGUUCAUGAUAACUUCAAUCCAUCUGCCCCCACGACUCGUACAGAAACCACCUCCGCUGUCGAUUACCAAACUGUACCUAGCCUUCCAGCUAGACAGCCUCGAGCAACCGUGCUUGACACCUCAGAUCACAAAGCAGACGUUGUUAACUCCACAAGCAACGGUCCGUGUGAUAAUGACAUCCUCCAGGAGUCUCACACAAAAAGAGAAAUCUCUCUCUCUGAAUCCACCAUAAUGACAUUAUCACAUCAUCAACCUGAUGCGCCUGACAUAUCUGACAGUGCAACGCAAAAUGCUAAACUGUCCCUGGCAAGUGUUGACACCAAAAUUGACGCCACAAUUACAGAGUCAACCCCUGUCCCUCAAACUGACGACACAGCUCUCAACUCAGAUUUUGAUUCUGUCCGUCAAGUCUCAACUUCUCGUACUGACAUAUCUACUCCCGAAACUGUCACCUCAACCUCGGUUGUUAGCGGGGAGAAGAGUGCUCGUCCUGUCAGUGAAUAUGCCGUUUAUGGAGCGUUGUAUGACUCACUUUUCCCCCAGAGUUUUACCUUGGAGGUAUUGUCAUCCCUCUCAAACACUCCGCCUCAGAUACAUACCGAGGUAAUACAACUUAACACCAAAUCUGAGCCCGUCAUUAUUAAAACCCUUAAUGAAUGUCACUCAGAAACUAAUGUCAUACACUCUCGCCUGUCGACUUCACGUGAGUUUGAAUCUGCUUCUCGGAGAAUGGAUGACACUGUAAGUGAGUACACUAACGUAAAUGCAACCUUCAGUGAGAGAAAGGUCAUUUCUUCUAGCGAGAGCUCCAGAUUGACCUCUUACCAAACCUCUACUGCUUAUGAGCCUCAGAGAGAAUCGGAUAUCAACCACAGACAUCUGCCUUCCUCUCUCAAAUCAGGUUCUGAACCAGUUGACGGUGAUAAAAUCCCUCACUCAGAGCUGACCCGCCCCCUUUCAGAGGCGAAAUCAGACAGUUUUAGCCUCAUUCAAGACAAUGUCAGGUCAGUCCCUGUGGUUCAAAGCUCUACCCCUCCCGUUUCUGAAUAUGUAACAUCCCAAGGGGCAGACUCUCAGCUUACUGCUUCCAAACGGAGGGUGAUCCUAGUUAAAGAGUUCGUCACAGACGAAGCGAGCACAGAUCCUGUCUGUCCCUCUCCCGUGCCUGAAAAGUUUAGCGCAACAAAGGGACUUGAGAUAAGAAUCGAGACAAGAGAGACUAUUUUUGCUCCUUCUGGACAGAUGGAUGGCUCUGAUGGGCCUUUAAGUCCGGCAUAUCUGAGCGUAGGAUCAGAUGACGCCAGUGUUGCGGAGAUCUACUUCAGUGCUGAAGAGGACAACGCAGAGGGGAGCGGGGAUGAAGAGAUGUACACGAUGGACGACAGGGAAGAAAUGUCUGUCAUACACGCGAUGACAGAAGCUGAGUUUCCAGAGCAAGGGGAGAUUGCAGAAAGCAGGAUAAGAAAGACCAAUGAGGGAGAAUUUUGGGAGGUGCAGAAUGAGGCAGGUAAAAUAGGCAAUGAAGAAAAGAAAGAGGAUGUCAAUAGCCAAACUGAAGUGGAGCAACAAGUAGCAGGUCAGAUAUCAGAGGCUCAAGUGGAGGAGAUUGGAACUUCUGAGUUUCUUCCAGGCAGUGAUGCAAAGAGUCUGAAGAAAGAAGUAGCAACCACUGGUGUUACCACAGGUGAA
Molecule: long non-coding RNA, 1911 nt
Filed under: Cottoperca gobio
Lineage: Eukaryota; Metazoa; Chordata; Actinopteri; Perciformes; Bovichtidae
Description: lncRNA (ENSCGOG00000003805.1)
Source: RNAcentral